RNAcentral lists this ribosomal RNA (256 nucleotides) under Ditylum brightwellii. RNAcentral's name for it is "partial Bacterial large subunit ribosomal RNA". It matches the Rfam family "Bacterial large subunit ribosomal RNA", at positions 2250 to 2524 of the family's 2925-position model. The record is from RNAcentral. Lineage: Eukaryota; Bacillariophyta; Thalassiosirophyceae; Lithodesmiales; Lithodesmiaceae.
GCAAAUGUUAGAUGGGCUGUUUCAUUGGGGAGAUGACCUUCUAUAAUAUAACUAAAGGUUAACAAAGCAAUUGAUGUGGCCUUUGAUCAAGGACUAGUAAGUGCAAAGAUUGAUGUGUGGCUUAAUGGUCAAGCGUUAGAUCCAGUAUUUAAAUGGUGUCUUAGUGACCUUCAAAUUAAUCUAUCAGAUAAAAGCUACUCUAGGGAUAACAGGCUUAAUUCUUUGGAUAGCUCACAUUAACAAAAUCGUUUUGCAC